This is a long non-coding RNA of Leptidea sinapis, 145 nucleotides long. RefSeq lists it as uncharacterized. NCBI's taxonomy places the organism in Eukaryota, Metazoa, Arthropoda, Insecta, Lepidoptera, Pieridae. The transcript has 2 exons. The record is from RefSeq and is a predicted model, not a curated record.
GUGAGAUGUUCAAAACAGGUCUCAAAAUUGCUGACAGUGAUAAUAAUAGGUUGGAGAGUGCUAAAUUUAAUUACCAGCUUGGGAAGGAGUUGACGGGGGUUCGUCUUGACUUAAGCGCACCUAUCAAUAUUGCCAAGGGCUGUAU